RNAcentral lists this ribosomal RNA (292 nucleotides) under uncultured Frankiales bacterium. Its description in RNAcentral is "partial 16S ribosomal RNA". It matches the Rfam family "Bacterial small subunit ribosomal RNA", at positions 505 to 796 of the family's 1533-position model. The record is from RNAcentral. Lineage: Bacteria; Bacillati; Actinomycetota; Actinomycetes; Frankiales.
GUGUCAGCCGCCGCGGUAAUACGUAGGGCGCAAGCGUUGUCCGGAAUUAUUGGGCGUAAAGAGCUCGUAGGCGGUCUGUCACGUCGGCUGUGAAAACCCGAGGCUCAACCUCGGGCCUGCAGUCGAUACGGGCAGACUAGAGUUCGGUAGGGGAGACUGGAAUUCCUGGUGUAGCGGUGGAAUGCGCAGAUAUCAGGAGGAACACCGGUGGCGAAGGCGGGUCUCUGGGCCAUUACUGACGCUGAGGAGCGAAAGCGUGGGGAGCGAACAGGAUUAGAUACCCGAGUAGUCC